This 79-nucleotide ribosomal RNA is filed under the name Cactodera estonica. RNAcentral describes it as "partial 28S ribosomal RNA". The record is from RNAcentral. Lineage: Eukaryota; Metazoa; Nematoda; Chromadorea; Rhabditida; Heteroderidae.
UGACUGCUUCGACCUGAACUCAGACGUGAGUACCCGCUGAACUUAAGCAUAUCAGUAAGCGGAGUACGGCCCCCCCCCC